This 2844-nucleotide long non-coding RNA is filed under the name Homo sapiens (human). Its description in RNAcentral is "HSALNT0049757". The record is from RNAcentral. Lineage: Eukaryota; Metazoa; Chordata; Mammalia; Primates; Hominidae.
CUAAAUGUGUGCUGGACUCCAUCUGCCAGUAUUUUAUUUAGGAUUUUUGCAUGGAUACUCAUAGAAGACCUUGAUCUUUGUGCAUAAUAUUUGUUAGGUUUUCAAAUCCAUCUUAUGAUUGCCUUAUAUAAGAAUUCAGGAACUUUUCCUCUACAUCUAUGCUCUAGAAUUGUUGAAUGGCAUUGGAAUGCCCUGUUCCUUGAGGGUUUGAUAGAAUUCCUUUGUUAUAUUACCUAGGCCUGGUUCUUUUGGAAAACUAGCUGCUUGACAACUUCUCUCUUUUUCUUACGGUGCUCUAUUCAGAUUUCUAUCUCUCUUUAGUUACUAAAGUUUUGGUAAACUAUGUUGCCUAGGAGAGUAUCUGUUUUAUCUGUUUUUUUUUACAUUUAUUUGCAUAGAGUUGAACAAGAUAGUUGCUUACUUAUGUUUCUUUUAAGUUACUCUGUUAUUUUCACCAUAUCUUUUCUUAUUUUUGUGUAUUUUCAUAUUUCUUUCUUUUGAGUUUCUAACAUUUUAUCUAUUUUACUAUUUCUUGUUAUUUUUUUACCAAUUCUUCAACCCAUCAAUUCUACUUAGGAGGUUAAAAAUUUUAUUUCCCUUUUUUUCCUGUAGCAUAUUUUUUGUUCUUUUAAAAAUUGAGGUGGAUGCAUAUAGCAUUUAUUUUCAUUUAUUCUUCCUAAUUAAUGUUAGCAUUUAUUUGUGAGAACAGUUUUAGAUGUAUCCUAUAGAUUCGAAUAACGUGUGAUCCUAUUAUUUUUUAUUAUUCUAUAUAUAAUAUACUUUAUUCUUUUUGCUGUUUUCUAGAUAUUGUGCAAUUUCAGUUUGGGUUUUUCCAUUUUCCCAGGGAUUUAUGAAAAGUACAUUUUUUUUUCGUACAGAUGGCAGAGGCAGGGACUGUUAAUUUUCUGCUUGUAUUAGUAAAUUCUGGUUUUAUAUCUUGUGUACGUAAAGUUGACUGUAUAAUUUCGAAUUUCUGGAAUUUGUUUCCUAAGCAGUGCAACAUGUUAAUUUUUAUGACUCUUUCAGAAGGACUUUAAAAGAAGGUGAAUUUUUAGUUUUCAGAACAUAACAUUUAAGAGGUAUCAAUCAGGCCUUUCUUACGAUCUUACCUCUGUCGUUUAUACUCCUGAUUUUUAGGCCAUUUGAUCUGUGACUGGCCCAGAGAGGUGAGAAAAGACUCCCGUACCCUGGCCUGCCUUUCCUCUUUCUUAGGUGACAUUGCCUCAUUAAUGCUGAUACCAUGUCAUUGCGGGGCGCAAUAUUCCCAACUCUUGUAGCUUCACUGUGAGUUGCACCCUUUACCGUCCUUCAGCCUCUCUUGGUCUUGUUUAGAGAUUUGGCGGAACUUCAGCCUUUCCUGGUAUGAAGACUGUAACCGCUGCUUGCUUUGUUUCUGUUUGGAUUUGCUGACAUUGUCAAUCCUUUUAUUUAUUUUAUUUUCAGCCUGUCUGAAUCUGAAUAUUCAGCUGGCGGUUAGGUAUUGUUUUAUGAUUAAUCCUUAUAGUCUCGUUUUUCUAAUAGAUGCAUUUAGCUCAUCUUUGUACAUUGAUAUGAUGACACAUUUGCUCUUCGUUUUGCCAUAAUGUUUCCAUCAUGCGUGUUUCUUGACCUUCCAAAACCUUUCACCAUGUGGCUUGUUUUCUUUGUGUGAGUACAGUGUGUGCAAGUAUUAUCAACAAAUCUACAGAAUAUUUGAACCCCUAAUUUCUUCCAAUAGUAUUUAUUACUUCACUACUAGUAGCAAUAAUGAAAUUAGAAUAUUUAUUUUUUCCUACUCCCUUUUUUCUUUACUAUGUAGUCAUAAUUGAUAUUACAAUUCUUAAUAUUUACUUUUAUAUUUUUGCAUAUUCUCAUCUUUUUUACUUAAUUUAGGAAUUGUAUUAGUCUCUUCUCGCAUUGCUAUAAAGAACUAUCUGAGACUGGGUAAUUUAUAAAGACAAGAGGUUUAAUUGGCUCACAGUUCCACAGGCUGUACAGGAAGCAUGGCUGGGAGGCCUCAGGGAACUUACAAUCGUGGUGGAAGGCGAAGGGGAAGCAGGCCCGUCUUACAUGGCCAGAGCAUGGACAAGAGAGUGAAGCGGGAGGUGCCACACACUUUUAAACAACCAGGUUUUGUGAGAACUCAUCACUCUCAUGAGAACAGCAAGGAGGAGUCUGCCCCGUGAUCCAGCCAUCUCCCACCAGGCCCUUCUCCAACACUGGGGAUUACAAUUCGAUGAGAUUUGGGCGGAGACACAAAUCCACACCAUAUCACGAGCGUCAAACAAUAUCCUCAGCUAUGAAAGAUGAGGAAAUCAAUGCACCUAACAUCCUCCCAUCAUUGCGCACUGCAGCCUCUACCUCCCAGGCUCAAGCAGUCCUCCUGCCUCAGUCCCUCCAGCAGCUGGAACUACAGAAUAUUGCCGUCUGAAGCUGAUCAGAUUUUCCCUUCAUUAGUGACUUGAUUUUGGAGGGGGCAGGAGGAAGGAGAGAGGCUGGCUUUCUUUAGGAUUCUGUCUGUAUUUGAGAAGUCCAAUGUAGGAUGCUCAACCUACCAGAAUAAUGCAAAUACUCCAAAACUUAAAAACAUGUGAGGACCCAAACACUUCAGGUCUCAAGUAUUUCAGAUAAGGGACUCUCAACUUGUAUGGGCCCAAGAGAAAUGAAAACAUAUGUCCACAGAUGUUUUUGGCAGCAUUAUUUAUAAAAGCCAAAAAGGAGAAACAACUCAAAUGUCCAUAAACAGGUACGUGAUUGAGUACAACGUGGCCUCUCCAUACGCUGGAGUAUGACUCGGCAAUAAAAAGGAGUGAAGCGCUGGCACGUGCCAUGUGGACAGACCUUGAGAACGAGGCGCUAAGGGUG